Molecule: ribosomal RNA, 257 nt
Filed under: uncultured Stenotrophomonas sp.
Lineage: Bacteria; Pseudomonadati; Pseudomonadota; Gammaproteobacteria; Lysobacterales; Lysobacteraceae
Description: partial 16S ribosomal RNA
Rfam family: Bacterial small subunit ribosomal RNA
Source: RNAcentral
UGGCGGACGGGUGAGGAAUACAUCGGAAUCUACUCUGUCGUGGGGGAUAACGUAGGGAAACUUACGCUAAUACCGCAUACGACCUACGGGUGAAAGCAGGGGAUCUUCGGACCUUGCGCGAUUGAAUGAGCCGAUGUCGGAUUAGCUAGUUGGCGGGGUAAAGGCCCACCAAGGCGACGAUCCGUAGCUGGUCUGAGAGGAUGAUCAGUCACACUGGAACUGAGACACGGUCCAGACUCCUACGGGAGGCAGCAGAU